UAAAUAUUAUUAUAUUAACGUAUUGUCACUUUUGAUUUCCCCAAUAAACCCUCUAUGAGUCUACUCAGCUUUCAUAAUUUAUUGCUCAUGUAGAGUGUUCAUACGUUUCCACCCUAGGAAAUUAGUGGGUACGUUCCUCAGUCUUAUGAGCUAUGAGUUCUAUGCCUUGACAUUGUGCCUGGAGAUGCAGGGCAGAGGUAGUUUGGUGGUUUUUCAGCCCAAGGUUGAGUAAACAGAUGUCCCGGAGUUGAUUUUCCCCAGAAUAAUUGCAUACAAUGAGCACAAAUGUUUAAUUAAUCGGGAAUCUUGUGCUUAUUAUCUUUUCACUGGGUUUCCACAAUAAUGACCCAGAGGAAAAUUCUUUUCCUUUGUGUGAAUGAUAUUUUAUUUAAAGGUUUUCAUUUCAUCAUCUGAUUUCCUCCCCUUUUCUAGUGAGGGAGAGAGAAAGGCACUGAAUGAAUGAAUGAAUGAAUGAAUGAAUACCUGUGCCAUCAGCAGAAGGCAGGCACACCCAAGGUCAGGACUGUGGAGCGGUCACAGCGAGGGUGGGUGGAGGGCAUUUUCACCGCUCUAGUCAACCUCAAAACUAUGCUGAAGUCAGAAUAAUUUAAUAUUUUAUAUUCAGCUGGUGGAAACUUCCUUCCCCCAAAUCAAAGUUGGGAGGGAGAAAAGGGAGUUAAGGAAAGGUUUGACACACAAGAAAAUGGAAAGACAGUUGUGUAUGAAAUGAGCUUUGAGUUUUCAGGACUGAACAUUUUGCAGUCCAGGCUGGCUCACUAAUGAAGGACCUGCUCCCCUAACCUGGUGCACAGCACCAAACAUUAAUCAGGCCAUUGUUUGCAUUAAAGGGCUGAGUUUUCCAGUGGGUAAUCAUCAGGGAAACCCAGUCAAGGGCAAACAAGGACGGCGGCCCUGAUUAAUUAAACAUCUGCACGGGGCCUAAAAGCAAGACUUACUCUGUUGGUUGUACAAGAGCUAUUGAUAUUAACACCACAUUGUCUGGAAUUGGGAAACAUUGUUUGCUAAAAUCCACUCUGUACAGAGUUUGGCGUUCAGGGCAUAUCAGGUUAUAUCCUUCUAUGUUAUUUUGGCUUCUUCCUGUGUCACUAGGUGGAAGGGAUUGGGUGAUGGUGUCCAUGGGUUUUCUCUUCAAGGAGAAAGCAGGACUUGAGCUAGCUGUGCCUCACAGGUCAAAGUCAUAAAUGUGGAGAACUGGGGGAAGGCUUCUCUGGGAAGGGUAUUCCAGGGAAUGGGACUAGCGUGAGCAAAGGCAGGAUACCUGGAACUGUAUAGAGAGUGUCUUGAUAACUACAAGGUCUGGUCUGAUUGGAGCCCAGGGCCUAUAAAGUUCAUUGGAAAUCAGUAUUGCAGAAUUGUGCUGAAUGGCAGCCUGAGGAGCUUUGAGGUUCAUUCUGAAAGUCAUGAGAGCUCUUGGAAUUUCCUUGGGUGGGGGCUGGCAUGACCAGAAUAGUGUUUCCAGAAGACCAUCUAGAGUAGUUGGGAGGGGAAGGUGGAUGACUAGAGAGGAGAGAGACGAACAGGGGAGGGACUUAUUAGGAUUAUACCACUUUCAGGUCCAUUUCCAAAGAUAAGAAUUGUCACAGAUAUAACCUAAGGCAAACAAAAUGGCAGAUAUCCAUAUCUGGCACAUUCUUAGACUCAAAAUUAUUUGAUUUGUUUAUCUGAAAUCCAAAUUGAACUUGAUGUACUAUAUUUUUUCCCAACUUUAUUGUGAUAUAAUUGGCACAUAACAUUGUAUAAUUCUAAGGUGUGUGACUAUUGAUUUGAUACAUUUACAACAAAAUGAUUUCACCACCACAGUAUUAAGCUUCCACCACCACUGGCCACAUAGUUACCAUUUCUUUUUUGUAAUGAAAACAUUUAAGAUCCAUCUCAGCACCAUUCAAGUGUAUGAUGCAGUAUAUUUUGUUAUUAUCUAUAAUCAUCUCAUAAUUAUCUAUAAUCAUCUUAUGGCAAAUUAGAUCCCCCAAUUUGUUAAUCUUACAACUGAAAUUUUAUGUCCUUUGGCCAGUAUCUUCCCAUUUCCCUCACUCCCCCAACCCCUGAGAGCUGGCAUCCUGUAUGUUUAUUUGUUAAAUCCAGCAGUCCCAGCCACUGAUGUGGCAACCCUGAGAAUGCCUCUCUCAGAUCUCCAACUGCAGGGAGUCCCUCAUUGGCCAAGGCCUUGGCUUCUGAGCUCUGAAUCUGCUGCAUCUGUGUCGAAGCCACGCUUGCCAUGGUCACUCCCAGCCAAUGACAUAACACGGCAGGGAUGCCAAAAUGCCAGAUUCCUCUGUCAGGUGACUUUGGCUCCAGAACUUCCUGAAGACCUUGCUAAACUCACCUUAAUACUGUACUGCAGUCCAAGAUGCUUGCAUUCAGCCUUCCUUCCAUCUCUUUCUCUCCUUUUCUAGGGGUCAGAUCAGCUCUGCAGUCUGACAUUUCUCCCAGCCUCUUCUGGCUCCUUUUGCCUUUUCUCUCAUAGGUCAUAGCGAAGGUUUGUAUGUCUAAUCCCAUCCUGACAUCUGCUCCUUGUAGGUAUACCUGUCUUGGUAUUAGUCUUAGACUAAUGUACCUGGUGUCUAAACAGAAACUGUCAGGAGCUGGCUAGGGAAAGUUCAUGAUUCAUAGUUGUGGAACAGGAACCAGUGAAGGUUAUAAGGCAGCAGGUAGUAAAGGAGAGGAGAGAGAGGAUUUGAAGGGGGCAAAAACUAUCCAGCUUAGGUUAGUUUUACUUAGUUCUUAAUGAAGACCACACAUCAAAAACCAUACCUAGUACAUUUUGCACUGCCCAUGCUCAUGCCCACAGAUUAUGUUUUAGAUCUUAGGUGCUGUUCAGGCACCUGUGAUGCUGAUGCUCAGUCCUGGUUGAAAAACUUUAUUUUAAAAGACCUCAAUCAGGGGUGGUAAAUAGAUUCUGUUUCCACGAGAAUUCUGAUAAAUUGGUAGUGACCUUGGAGGAAAGUUCUCUGAGGGGCUGUGUAGUCACAUCUGGGUCCAGGGGAAGAGCACUGGGAUUGAUUAGUAUAGUCUGUUAUGGUUGAGGAAGUCAGGGUAUCAGAUGAGUGAGUGUGGUGCCUUUGUCAGCCCUGCCCACCUUUGUGAAGUCUUAACAGGCAACAUCCUGUGCCUGAAAGGAGGCUAUUGCUAUCCUCUGGGAAAAAAACAAGAGGGCCUGAAACAGAGGUGAGGAAGCCAGGACUGGAGAGGAGAAGAUAGGAAGGUAAAUAUGAGAUUUAGCAAAAGAAAGACUUGGGGAGUUCCCAUCGUGGCUCAGUGGUUAACGAAUCCGACUAGGAACCAUGAGGUUGCAGGUUCGAUCCCUGGCCUUGCUCAGUGGGUUAAGGAUCUGGUGUUGCCGUGAGCUGUGGUGUAGGUCGCAGAUGCGGCUUGGAUCCUGAGUUGCUGUGGCUGUCCCUGGUGGCUCCGAUUAGACCCCUAGCCUGGGAACCUCCUUAUGCUGCAGAAGUGGCUCUAGAAAUGGC
RNAcentral lists this long non-coding RNA (3485 nucleotides) under Sus scrofa (pig). RNAcentral describes it as "lncRNA (ENSSSCG00000058378.1)". Lineage: Eukaryota; Metazoa; Chordata; Mammalia; Artiodactyla; Suidae. The record is from RNAcentral.